AACGAACGCUGGCGGCAUGCCUAACACAUGCAAGUCGAACGAAGCCUUCGGGCUUAGUGGCGCACGGGUGCGUAACGCGUGGGAAUCUGCCCUUAGGUACGGAAUAACUCAGGGAAACUUGUGCUAAUACCGUAUGAUGUCGAGAGACCAAAGAUUUAUCGCCUAGGGAUGAGCCCGCGUAGGAUUAGCUAGUUGUGGGGUAAAGGCCUACCAAGGCGACGAUCCUUAGCUGGUCUGAGAGGAUGAUCAGCCACACUGGGACUGAGACACGGCCCAGACUCCUACGGGAGGCAGCAGUGGGGAAUAUUGGACAAUGGCGAAAGCCUGAUCCAGCAAUGCCGCGUGAGUGAAGAAGGCCUUCGGGUUGUAAA
RNAcentral lists this ribosomal RNA (371 nucleotides) under uncultured bacterium. Its description in RNAcentral is "bacterial SSU rRNA". It matches the Rfam family "Bacterial small subunit ribosomal RNA", at positions 29 to 429 of the family's 1533-position model. The record is from RNAcentral.